AAUAACCUUAUUUUUCGUUUUUUCAUGUCCAACGUUUGACCAUUCAUCUUAUUUGAAAUUUUUUACGAUUAAUAUUUUUACUGUUACUAGAUGAUAAAAUAUAAAUAGUACUUUAUAUGUGACUAUUUUUUUUUAAGUUUUUAUAUAAAUUUUUUAAAUAAUACGAAUAGUCAAAUAUUAGAGACACGGAAAAAC
RNAcentral lists this microRNA precursor (195 nucleotides) under Oryza brachyantha (malo sina). RNAcentral's name for it is "MIR812 microRNA precursor family". It matches the Rfam family "MIR812 microRNA precursor family", at positions 19 to 190 of the family's 205-position model. Lineage: Eukaryota; Viridiplantae; Streptophyta; Magnoliopsida; Poales; Poaceae. The record is from Rfam by way of RNAcentral.